RNAcentral lists this unclassified non-coding RNA (377 nucleotides) under uncultured Microbacteriaceae bacterium. RNAcentral's name for it is "contains 16S-23S intergenic spacer region". The record is from RNAcentral. Lineage: Bacteria; Bacillati; Actinomycetota; Actinomycetes; Micrococcales; Microbacteriaceae.
UCCGAGUUGACCCCGGCAGUCUCCUAUGAGUCCCCACCAUCACGUGCUGGCAACAUAGGACGAGGGUUGCGCUCGUUGCGGGACUUAACCCAACAUCUCACGACACGAGCUGACGACAACCAUGCACCACCUGUAUAGAGACCUUGCGGGGGGACUGUUUCCAGCCCUUUCCUCUAUAUGUCAAGCCUUGGUAAGGUUCUUCGCGUUGCAUCGAAUUAAUCCGCAUGCUCCGCCGCUUGUGCGGGUCCCCGUCAAUUCCUUUGAGUUUUAGCCUUGCGGCCGUACUCCCCAGGCGGGGAACUUAAUGCGUUAGCUGCGUCACGGAGACCGUGGAAAGGCCCCCACAACUAGUUCCCAACGUUUACGGGGUGGACUAC